Molecule: ribosomal RNA, 730 nt
Filed under: Nymphargus chancas (Peru cochrane frog)
Lineage: Eukaryota; Metazoa; Chordata; Amphibia; Anura; Centrolenidae
Description: partial 12S ribosomal RNA
Rfam family: Bacterial small subunit ribosomal RNA
Source: RNAcentral
AGUGAUUAACAUUGAGCAUGAGCGACAGCUCGACUCAGUCAAAGUAAAAAGAGCCGGCAAAUCUGGUGCCAGCCGCCGCGGUUACACCAUGUGGCUCAAAUUGAUUUUUAUCGGCGUAAAGCGUGAUUAAAGUUUCACCCCCAUUAGAGUCAAACUAAAACUAAGCUGUGACACGCUUGUGCUUAAGAAGCUCAAAAACGAAAGUUACUCCAAUUUAACCAACUUGAACCCACGACAGCUGGGAUACAAACUGGGAUUAGAUACCCCACUAUGCCCAGCCGUAAACUUUAAACUACACCCAACAUCGCCAGGGAACUACGAGCAAAGCUUAAAACCCAAAGGACUUGACGGUACCCCACAUCCACCUAGAGGAGCCUGUCCUACAAUCGAUACCCCCCGCUAAACCUCACCACUUCUCGCCCACUCAGCCUGUAUACCUCCGUCGUCAGCUUACCACGUGAGCGUAACUCAGUGAGCUUAAUGCCCAUACGCCAACACGUCAGGUCAAGGUGCAGCAAAUGAAGUGGGAAGAGAUGGGCUACACUCUCUAAUAUAGAAAAUACGGAAGACUAUUUAUGAAACCUAGUCCAAAGGCGGAUUUAGAAGUAAAAAGAAAAAGAAUGUCCUUUUUAACUCGGCACUGGGGUGUGUACACACCGCCCGUCACCCUCUUCAAAGCCACCAAAAAGUAAAUACCCAACGCCGCACACAGAAGAGGCAGUCGUACAUG